AUUGAACGCUGGCGGCAUGCCUUACACAUGCAAGUCGAACGGCAGCACGGGAGCAAUCCUGGUGGCGAGUGGCGAACGGGUGAGUAAAGUAUCGGAACGUGCCCAGCCGUGGGGGAUAACGUAGCGAAAGUUACGCUAAUACCGCAUACGAUCUAUGGAUGAAAGCGGGGGAUCGCAAGACCUCGCGCGAUUGGAGCGGCCGAUAUCAGAUUAGGUAGUUGGUGGGGUAAAGGCUCACCAAGCCGACGAUCUGUAGCUGGUCUGAGAGGACGACCAGCCACACUGGGACUGAGACACGGCCCAGACUCCUACGGGAGGCAGCAGUGGGGAAUUAUGGACAAUGGGCGAAAGCCUGAUCCAGCCAUGCCGCGUGCAGGAUGAAGGCCUUCGGGUUGUAAACUGCUUUUGUACGGAACGAAAAGGUUUGGCCUAAUAAGCUGAGCUCAUGACGGUACCGUAAGAAUAAGCACCGGCUAACUACGUGCCAGCAGCCGCAGUAA
RNAcentral lists this ribosomal RNA (500 nucleotides) under uncultured bacterium. RNAcentral describes it as "partial 16S ribosomal RNA". It matches the Rfam family "Bacterial small subunit ribosomal RNA", at positions 30 to 523 of the family's 1533-position model. The record is from RNAcentral.